RNAcentral lists this ribosomal RNA (253 nucleotides) under uncultured bacterium. Its description in RNAcentral is "partial 16S ribosomal RNA". It matches the Rfam family "Bacterial small subunit ribosomal RNA", at positions 524 to 776 of the family's 1533-position model. The record is from RNAcentral.
UACAUGGGGUGCAACCGUUGCUCGGAAUUAUUGGGCGUAAAGCGCACGUAGGCGGUUCGUUAAGUCGGAUGUGAAAGCCCUCGGCUCAACUGAGGAAGUGCACCCGAAACUGGCGAGCUUGAGUACGAAAGAGGAUCGCGGAAUUCCCGGUGUAGAGGUGAAAUUCGUAGAUAUCGGGAGGAACACCGGUGGCGAAGGCGGCGAUCUGGGUCGAUACUGACGCUGAGGUGCGAAAGCGUGGGGAGCAAACAGG